This is a non-coding RNA of Rhizodiscina lignyota, 134 nucleotides long. The record is from the annotation of a GenBank genome assembly. Lineage: Eukaryota; Fungi; Ascomycota; Dothideomycetes; Aulographales; Rhizodiscinaceae.
GCAAUCUUAGUUUAGGGGUAAAAUUCGAGUGCGUAAUUCUCCUCAUCGACUGGGCAAUCAGACUCACUGUUUGCAGGCUUCCCAGUCCCACCCUGACUUUGCUCGAGUCCCGGGUUCGAGUCCCGGAGGUUGCA